This 1141-nucleotide long non-coding RNA is filed under the name Bos taurus (domestic cattle). RNAcentral's name for it is "long non-coding RNA NONBTAT024031". The record is from RNAcentral. Lineage: Eukaryota; Metazoa; Chordata; Mammalia; Artiodactyla; Bovidae.
GGGUAGCAGAUAGCCAAAAAGAGGUGACCUAAUGCUCUCCAAAAUUAACCUAGGGGUCUUGGUUUGGAAUAAAGUGUUCGUGACUAUAGCCCUUUCUCCUGUUUUAAAAAAACAAAUCAUUGUUAUUAGCACAGAUGACUAUCAAUUAGAAUAAAUAUUUAGCUUUUAAACAAAAGUGGAAAUAGUUCAAUCAGUGUUGGUGAAACUAUUUUGAGACAAGAGAUUUCAUUUAGAUAACUUAAGUUGGGAAUCUGUUCCUCUUUCGAAGAGCCUGUGUGAUGACUGAAAGUGCUGUGUGUUUUCAGUGACCUUGAGGAAGGGAGCCAGUCAUUUCUUCUUAAGGGUUGUAAGAAGUAGGGGCCUUGCUGAUCUCAUGCUUUUCAGUUCAAAAACUGUGUCCAGAACAUCUUAGAUCUCCUUCACCCACAGUGUUCAAAGGCUGUCUGUAUUUCAGGCUCAGUCUACCCUACCUUCAGCUGAGCCUGUCUUCCAGCUCUGUUCCCUCAUACUAAAUUUACAGGUGAGCGUUCUCCAUUCUUAGUUUGUUUUUUUUUAAAGUCUUUACUCAUUUUACUGUUAUGAGAAAUGACCACCACCUUCUCCUUUUCUCAAGAAAUAUAAAGGUAGAAGAGAUAUUCCUUUUCCAUUAUUUUUAAAAGCUAUUGUUUUUGGACUGCUGGCACUUGGCAGUUUAGUUUUCAGACCCUAAUCUGAAUUAAGUUGAUGGAGGUGACCCUAAAAUUGAUCUAAAGUUUUAAUCUUGCUUUAUCAUAUAAGCAUCUGGUUGGAAACUGUGCUGAUGAAGAUUUGUAUUUUGUGGCAUUGGUUCUUCAUGUUUCUUUUUUAUGUAUUUAAAAUCGAUCAUUAAUUUCCAAACAAGUGGAGAAUUUACUGUUGUUGAGCUAUGUAGAGGGCAAGUGUGCUUGAUUAGAGCAUGAACUGUACUUUCACAUUAGCUGAUGUGCUUUGCACUCUGCUCUUGUAGAUUUAUUUUGUUUACAGUAGACUGAUGUCAAGUUUUUGUAAAUGUUUUUUACUUAGCACUUUAACUGUGAGUGUACAAACUGAUUUUAAAUGUAGUGGUUGUAUAUUUUGGUUAUAAAUUGGAAAUUUGUAAUAAAAAUUAAAUGAUUUGUUCUCU